This 262-nucleotide ribosomal RNA is filed under the name uncultured archaeon. Its description in RNAcentral is "partial 16S ribosomal RNA". It matches the Rfam family "Archaeal small subunit ribosomal RNA", at positions 748 to 1009 of the family's 1478-position model. The record is from RNAcentral.
CAGCCGUAAACUAUGCGCGUUAGGUGUAUCGGUGACCACGAGUUACCGAGGUGCCGAAGGGAAACCGUGAAACGUGCCGCCUGGGAAGUACGGUCGCAAGGCUGAAACUUAAAGGAAUUGGGCGGGGGAGCACCACAACAGGUGGAGCCUGCGGUUUAAUUGGACUCAACGCCGGACAACUCACCGGGAACGACAGCAAUAUGUAGGCCAGGCUGAAGACCUUGCCUGAAUCGCUGAGAGGAGGUGCAUGGCGUAGACGUCU